This 253-nucleotide ribosomal RNA is filed under the name uncultured bacterium. RNAcentral describes it as "partial 16S ribosomal RNA". It matches the Rfam family "Bacterial small subunit ribosomal RNA", at positions 524 to 776 of the family's 1533-position model. The record is from RNAcentral.
UACGUAGGGGGCAAGCGUUAUCCGGAGUUACUGGGUGUAAAGGGUGGGUAGGCGGCAUGGUAAGCCAGAUGUGAAAGCCUUGAGCUUAACCCGAGGAUUGCAUUUGGAACUAUCAAGCUAGAGUACAGGAGAGGAAAGCGGAAUUCCUAGUGUAGCGGUGAAAUGCGUAGAUAUUAGGAAGAACACCAGUGGCGAAGGCGGCUUUCUGGACUGAAACUGACGCUGAGGCACGAAAGCGUGGGGAGCGAACAGG